UAAGCCUGUGAAGGUGGCCUGUGAGGGUUGCUGGAGGUAUCAGAAGUGCGAAUGCUGACAUAAGUAACGAUAAAGCGGGUGAAAAGCCCGCUCGCCGGAAGACCAAGGGUUCCUGUCCAACGUUAAUCGGGGCAGGGUGAGUCGACCCCUAAGGCGAGGCCGAAAGGCGUAGUCGAUGGGAAACGGGUUAAUAUUCCCGUACUUGGUGUUACUGCGAAGGGGGGACGGAGAAGGCUAUGUUGGCCGGGCGACGGUUGUCCCGGUUUAAGCGUGUAGGUGUGUGUUCCAGGUAAAUCCGGUUCACUUUAACACUGAGGCGUGAUGACGAGGCACUACGGUGCUGAAGCAACAAAUGCCCUGCUUCCAGGAAAAGCCUCUAAGCAUCAGGUAACAUCAAAUCGUACCCCAAACCGACACAGGUGGUCAGGUAGAGAAUACCAAGGCGCUUGAGAGAACUCGGGUGAAGGAACUAGGCAAAAUGGUGCCGUAACUUCGGGAGAAGGCACGCUGACAC
RNAcentral lists this ribosomal RNA (514 nucleotides) under Salmonella enterica subsp. enterica serovar Muenchen. RNAcentral's name for it is "partial 23S ribosomal RNA". It matches the Rfam family "Bacterial large subunit ribosomal RNA", at positions 1243 to 1757 of the family's 2925-position model. The record is from RNAcentral. RNAcentral also lists the same sequence under 3 other names. Lineage: Bacteria; Pseudomonadati; Pseudomonadota; Gammaproteobacteria; Enterobacterales; Enterobacteriaceae.